GUGCUCACUUUGACAGCACACAUACCAAAACUGGAGAGAUACAGAGAAGAUUGUCACGGCCCCUGGGCAAGCAUGACAUGCAAAUUCAUUGCGUUCCAUAUUUUU
Small nuclear RNA from Alexandromys fortis (reed vole), 105 nucleotides. The record is from RefSeq and is a predicted model, not a curated record. NCBI's taxonomy places the organism in Eukaryota, Metazoa, Chordata, Mammalia, Rodentia, Cricetidae.